This 227-nucleotide ribosomal RNA is filed under the name uncultured bacterium. RNAcentral describes it as "partial 16S ribosomal RNA". It matches the Rfam family "Bacterial small subunit ribosomal RNA", at positions 107 to 334 of the family's 1533-position model. The record is from RNAcentral.
UGAGUAACACGUAUCCAACCUGCCGUCUACUCUUGGACAGCCUUCUGAAAGGAAGAUUAAUACAAGAUGGCAUCAUGAGUCCGCAUGUUCACAUGAUUAAAGGUAUUCCGGUAGACGAUGGGGAUGCGUUCCAUUAGAUAGUAGGCGGGGUAACGGCCCACCUAGUCUUCGAUGGAUAGGGGUUCUGAGAGGAAGGUCUCCCACAUUGGAACUGAGACACGGUCCAA